AGUGAACGCUGGCGGUAGGCCUAACACAUGCAAGUCGAACGGCAGCACAGUAAGAGCUUGCUCUUACGGGUGGCGGGUGGCGGACGGGUGAGGAAUACAUCGGAAUCUACUUUUUCGUGGGGGAUAACGUAGGGGAACUUACGCUAAUACCGCAUACGACCUACGGGUGAAAGCAGGGGAUCUUCGGACCUUGCGCGAUUGAAUGAGCCGAUGUCGGAUUAGCUAGUUGGCGGGGUAAAGGCCCACCAAGGCGACGAUCCGUAGCUGGUCUGAGAGGAUGAUCAGCCACACUGGAACUGAGACACGGUCCAGACUCCUACGGGAGGCAGCAGUGGGGAAUAUUGGACAAUGGGCGCAAGCCUGAUCCAGCCAUACCGCGUGUGUGAAGAAGGCCUUCGGGUUGUAAAGCCCUUUUGUUGGGAAAGAAAAGCAGCAGGUUAAUACCCCGCUGUUCUGACGGUACCCAAAGAAUAAGCACCGGCUAACUUCGUG
Molecule: ribosomal RNA, 492 nt
Filed under: uncultured bacterium
Lineage: Bacteria
Description: partial 16S ribosomal RNA
Rfam family: Bacterial small subunit ribosomal RNA
Source: RNAcentral